Long non-coding RNA from Oncorhynchus masou masou (cherry salmon), 3117 nucleotides. RefSeq lists it as uncharacterized. The transcript is spliced from 5 exons. The record is from RefSeq and is a predicted model, not a curated record. NCBI's taxonomy places the organism in Eukaryota, Metazoa, Chordata, Actinopteri, Salmoniformes, Salmonidae.
GACUCCUCCACUAACUACAUCAGACAGCUGGAGACCAAAAUGAGGAUAUUGGAAGACGACAACAACAAGCUUUUGACGCAGCAGCAGUGUAACCCAGGGGACCUGCGUGUCCUGAGGAAGGGGAUGACCCUGUACCAUUCUGAGUCUCAGCUGUCAUCCCUGCCACAACGCCAGGACGCACUGCACAACGGCACGGUUGGUCGUCUCCCCACCAGCUAGUCAACCCCGGUAACAGGCUACCUGUCCCGUGUUCAGAAACCAGAGGCUGUGGUCCACGCCAUGAAGGUGUUGGAGGUGCACGAGAACCUGGAUAAGAAGCAGGUCCCAGAGGACUACGAGGAGGAUCUGAGUGAGAAGGAAAAAGCCAUCGUGAGAGAGAUGUGUAACGUGGUGUGGAGAAAGCUGGGCGACGUGGCAGGAUCGAAGCCGUCUAUCAGACAGCAUCUCUCUGGUAACCAGUUCAAAGACCCCAUGUAGUCCAUAGCAACCAGAGAGGGAGAGAGAGAGAGAGACCUUCCUACAUGCUCUCCAGUCCUACUACCUACACUACCCAUAACACCAUUCUCCCACUGACUAUAGGUCCCAUCACCCACCAUUCUCCUGGGAUAUGUGACUGGAUAUUAUACGACCAGGGAAACCACAGAAUGGACCUCUCCAUCUCUCCCUCACCACUAGUCAACUCCCCAUUUCGUUUGAACUUCCAGUGUUGUUGAUAACUGGCAGCUAGUUUCACUGAUUUGCCACUUUCCUUGUAUUACAGAUUUUAGGUUUAGAGUUAGACAGGCUUACACUUUACACAGUGCUGAUGACUAUUACAGACCAAACUCUCAUGUUGUUUUGUUUUAUGCUAAAAAGAAAGAAACUCAGAUGAGAGCUAUAGGAUCUCUAGGAUGUUACAGUGACGCUGUGAUAAUGUCAGAUAUGGUUACAUUUUGGGUUACAAGUGUCUCGUAUGGACAAAUCUAGGAUCAGCUUCAUCCACCUUCAAUCCUGAUCUUGAGCCUUUAGAGGUAAUGUACAGAACUGACCAUAGAGCAGAGUCCAGGAGCAAUGUCACCCAACUCCUUCAUAGUACUUCCCAAUAAAAAAAAACAGCUAGCUCCUCUGUUAGUUGUGCUUUGCCUUUAUCUGGUUGAUUAGCAUAAUUAGCAUUAGCUAAUGCUAGCCUUAGUGUAAUUAGCCUUAGCUAAUGCUAGCUUUAGCAGAAUUAGCAUUAGCUAAUGCUUGCCUUAGCAGAAUUAGCAUUAGCAUCCAAAGUGUUAAUACGUGAUACCCAUUGUGAUAUGAUACGUAGCACCCUAUGCUCAUAAGAGAAGUCUAUUAUUAAUACAGUACUAUUAUAGAGAUCACUUUUAAAACUAGUGUAAAAUAUGUAAACAAAAAAAAACAUAGCACUGCAUUGUUGUUGUUAUCGUUUAUUUUGAGCUUUUUGUUUUUUUAGUAUUAUUCUAGCGUGGCCAUGUGUUAUAUACUGACUGUUUUGUGGGUUUUAUGUUUUACAAAAGCACACAACUGAACAGGGUUCCUUCUAAGGUAACCACUCAUCUUUUUACUGUAGUUCGUUGAAACAAAUUAUUACUUCAUCUCCUCUGUAAACGUAUCAAGGCCAUUUUAAAUCUAAACCGUCUCAAGCCAAGAGUCAAUGUUUUUUUUAUUUUAUUUUUACUAAAAUGUACUAGGUUGUGUCUGCUCUAAGACAAUCAUGUUUCUCAGGUUGGGAAAUAACGAGAGCUUUCCCCCGACCCUGUGGCUCCUCUGUGGAUAUAGUGGGGAUUCUUUGUUGAUGUUUGGUCAGGCUGCCUGUGUGUACUGUAGUUCUCUGUAACAGACUGAUGACACCUGGUUACUACAGGAUUGGAGACUGCUGAACACAUUUUAUACAUUCAUUUUAUAUGAAAUAACAAGUUUCAUAAAUCUCAAUGACAGAAUGUUUCAGAAAUGUUCUCUGAAACUUGAAGGAUUUUAUGCCACUGUCAUAAAGGUCAGAUCAGACUAAUUUGGCUAUUUUUGGUCAUCAGUAACUAUUGCAUUAAUCAAACCACUGUACAACACAGUAUUUUAAUUGAAAGCUAAGAAAGUUGUCAAAUAAAUGGAAUGCUUUUCAUUUCAAUUAGCAUAAUAUGACUGUGUUUUUAGCCAUGGUGGAUACAGCGGAUGAGUUUCAGCAGUGGACUGUGCAUGUUUUGUAGAAAAUGAUUUCUGUUGGAAUGUGAGAAAGAGCAAGUCUUCCCUUAGAUGUUUUUGGAUACAGCUGCGUUUUACCGACUUAUAAUGAUGUCAGAUGAAAGAAUAAGGACUGUUAUGAUCAAACUGUUCAAGGCUAUUUAUUGCCAGGUGUUUCGAUAAAAAAAAUGGGGAGAGCUAUCCAAUAAUAGGGCUGUCAUGGCCAGUUUAAGAUUUUGACCUAUCAGGAGAUUUUGAUUGGUAUCCAGGUCUUUUGAUUGGGCAAUUGGUAAUGAUUGACAGCUCAAGCUCUCCUGGCUCUAGUAUUAGUUUUUCCAAAUUAGAACAUUGAGGCUUCUGACCGUACAUUCUUACGAUUCGUCCUCCUCGGGUUCUCUCUCAUAGGAUCUACUACAACAACAAAAAAAGAAAAUGAAAGUAUGGAUUUUCAAAAAGGUGUCCUUUUUUUCUAGGAACAACUGAUUUGAAGCUAUGAUGAUAUAAUGAUAUGUUAUAAUGAUAUACUGCUUUUCAGUCUGGCAUUUUGAUUUGAGAUGUGACACAUUUUUCUCUGCAUGGAAUUUUGAGUUGGAUCCUGUGUUUUGAACUUUGUUGUAUUUUUCUAAUUCUGUAUAUACGUGCUAAACUAGAAGUCAUGAUAAUCCUCGAACCUAGUCUGCAUCUCAAAAUAGCAAUAUAUUCCCUAGUGCACUACUUUUGACCACUGCCUUGUGCUGACCCUGGUCAUAUGCAGUGUGCUAUAUAAGGGAAUAGGUUGUUAUUUCAGACACAGACCCUACAGUGUUUAAUGCAAACUAUUCCUAUAGCAACUAGCAUGAAUGUAAACGUUUUUUUUUUCUUCCCAUGGUGAUAGUUAAAAUUAAAAUAAAGUAAUUGAACUAGGUCACUUUUAGAUGAUUUUGAGAAAAAAAUAAACAAUUACUCUCUUUGUAA